GUGGGGAAUUUUGGACAAUGGGCGCAAGCCUGAUCCAGCAAUGCCGCGUGUGUGAAGAAGGCCUUCGGGUUGUAAAGCACUUUUGGCAGGAAAGAAAUAGUGCGUGCUAAUACCAUGCGCGAAUGACGGUACCUGCAGAAUAAGCCCCGGCUAACUACGUGCCAGCAGCCGCGGUAAGACGUAGGGUGCAAGCGUUAAUCGGAAUUACUGGGCGUAAAGCGUGCGCAGGCGGUUUUGUAAGACAGGUGGAAAAACCCCGGGCUCAACCUGGGAACUGCAAUUGUAACUGCAAGGCUAGAGUGUGUCAGAGGGAGGUGGAAUUCCGCGUGUAGCAGUGAAAUGCGUAGAGAUGCGGAGGAACACCGAUGGCGAAGGCAGCCUCCUGGGAUAACACUGACGCUCAGGCACGAAAGCGUGGGGAGCAAACAGGAUUAGAAACCCCGGUAGUCC
RNAcentral lists this ribosomal RNA (450 nucleotides) under uncultured bacterium. RNAcentral describes it as "partial 16S ribosomal RNA". It matches the Rfam family "Bacterial small subunit ribosomal RNA", at positions 354 to 796 of the family's 1533-position model. The record is from RNAcentral.